UAAGCGGAAAAAGCUUGGUGCGCCCGCAUUACAGAUUAAUUAAAUUGCUAGAAUCAAGCUUUAGUUUAAAUAGAAUUUGGAAAACGCCUUAACGAAUAAGUCAAAUCACCAUCUUUAUAUUUUGUGUUUUCUUAAUUCAUUGAAUUUUAUGUUUAUAAAUAUAUUUUAGUUAUUUUUAAACAUUUUUAGGUAAUUGUAGUUACCAUGAAGCAGUUUUGAAUCGAGACCUUAAUAUUAAGUAAUACACUGGUUCGCACUUCCGAUAGACGCUACGUAAAGAGGUGUUUUUUUGCUAACAUUAAAUGUAUUAGUGCCCGGGUCAAUAUACAUUUCUUGGCCGGCCACACCUACAAAUAAUCUGAUGUAUCGACAUCACGCGGACUUUAUGCUUCUGAUUCUAUGUGGACUCGCUUGUGUAUACCUAACGUUAUGGUUAUCAAAAGUCGCCUGAAAAAAGUGUAAAACCUGAAAGUCAAACAGUUCUUAUCAUUUAAUUUUUAUCAACUUGGAAAGCCAUAAACAUACACGAAGGUUAAAGGAUUUUACAAAGUCUUACACAAGCCUAAAUAAGUCAAUGAGUAUAAAAUAGCAAACAGAAUUUUCCCGCUUCUAACGUAAAUGAACACAAAACAUGACGGAACUACAAGGAGACGAUUGGGACUUACCUUGCUCAGACGACGAGCUCUCUAAAGCGGGAACAACUAUCGGCAAAAACUGGGUCCUGGAGGCCUCGGAGCUAGAAGAACUUUUUAAUAAAAUAGAUAAAAACAGCACUUUGACCCUCGAGUGGAAGUGCCCUGGCAGACGAGCGCCUUCGCCUGUAAAUGUUAAAAAUGAAGCUAAAUUCGAAGCACCACAGUCUCCAGUAAAGGAAGAGAAGUCAGAUUUUGACUUUAUGGAUGAAGUUAGUUCACUAAGACUACGGGUGAGACGGGAAGGGGAGGAUACAUUACGGGGUUCAGCCAAGAAGAAGACUACAUCAUUUGAUGGUAUCCUGUCAAACAUUUUCAGGCACAAACGUAUUGAGCAGAUGGAGAAGCAGGCAAACACUCCGACUACAUCAGUUCCAAGCUCUUCCUGACCUUUGCCAAGUACUAGGAGCAGGCACAGUCUUCGGAAGACAUAGACUUGUGACAACAGAGUUUUUUCAGUCAUAAAAUAUACAUUGGUAAUCUCAGCAUUUUGUGGCAAAAUAGUUGAUCAAACACAUUUUAGAAAAAGGUCACUUAUGCGGACAAUAUAAUAAGAAUUAACGACUGGUAAAUAUGUAUACAUAUAAGCCGUUUUUAUUUGGGUAUGGUCUAGCAUAAAAAAUUGCUUUAGGUUCCCCUAACUUUGCAAUAUCUACAGGAAAGACGAGGGAUAACAGGAUCACGGACGCAAAUGAGUGCAGCAUACUAUAAAGUGUGUAUGACCAAUAUAAAAAAUUAAUAAAUUCAAAGGCAUAUAAGUUGUUUGAGAUGUUAUUGCAAAGUAUCUUAUGUCAACUACACAGGAUUGUUGACAGACUAAUGGAUUUGUUUCAACAUUCUUGCCAUGAAAACGGAACGAAAUAACCAAUUAGGUGGGUCCACACAGAGUGAGCAUACGCACGAGGCAAUUUCCUCGCACACAAACCGGCCAGUGUACAUCAAACAUCAAUCUUUGUCCGUUCCAACAAGGUUCAAGGUUAAUUGUCCAGGGUACAAUAUGGACAAUAAUAUCACCCUGAUUAUUCCAUACAAGACGGACCCAGUUAGAUGGAUAAAUAUAUUCAGUUAAAUUGAAAUUUAAAAAAGAUUUAUUUAUGAAUUAACCUCUCAAUUUUAUCGACAGCUGCAAUAAGCUAGGUCAGGAGUUACCAACUUUUGAGAAGAAAUGACCACAGUUAGUAAUUUCAGGAAUCUCAUAGAGCCGAAAAUGGUCUUAAUCAAUUGCCAUAAUAUGCCAAUGGAUUAAGACCAUAAUUGACCUUACGGGCACGAAGAAUGGUGCUAGUUCAGUGGUGUCACUUACGAAGUUGUAAUGAAGUAGAUAGCUGGCAGUCAUUUUAUUGACAAAUAGAAGUGCUGGAGUUGAAAAAUUAUAGAAAAGUUAAUUGUUUAGUUAAAAUCUAGCGCCUAAUCCUAAAAUAGUACAUUAAAUUAAAGAAUAUUAAUACAGGGUGAAAAAUUCAGAUGGGCCAUUAAUUGAAAUGAAUACUUUAAUUUUAGAAUUGAAAAAUUUUAAUUUCACGGGAGACCAAAUGUUAUAUUAGUACCGUAAAAUGUGCCUACUUUGCUUAGAUAGUGUCCCAAAUAUUAUUUUUAUAACUAUUAUAGGAUGAUAUAUAAUAUGCCGAUUUUAAUUAGACCACUACUUUCAUGUUGUAACACUUAAAUGGGGUUGUGAUAAAUAUACUAUUAAUGUAUAUAUAAAAACUGUUGUAGCACACAAUUACCCAGUGUGACGACCUGUCUGGCCUAGUGGGUAGUGACUCCCACUAUGAAGCCGAUGGGGAAUUCAAAUCCUGGUAAGGGCAUUUAUUUGUAUGAUGAACAUGGAUAUUUGUUCCUGAGUCAUGGGUGUUUAUUUUUAAUAUUUAUAUAUUACUUAUACAUAUAUCGUUGUUUAGGUACCCACAACACAAGCCACGGUAGUAAGUCUAUUUUUCUAUAAAUUAGGCGGGUCCACACAGAGCGAACAUACGUGCGAGUCGAUUUCCUGGCGCACAAAACGGCCAGUGUAGACGUGCCUCAGCCGAGGCGGUGCGCGCGUCUACACUGGCCAGUUUUCACUUAUAGUAGUUUUUAAUUUGGGGCUAUAAUAAAGUUACUAAAAUGGUUUUUAUGUAUUGUAAGUAAAAUGCAGACUGUUACAUAAUAAAUAUGGAUGUUAAACAAAAAUAUUUAUAAAGAAUAAAUUUAUCAUUGUCAAGUA
Molecule: long non-coding RNA, 2898 nt
Organism: Cydia pomonella (codling moth)
Lineage: Eukaryota; Metazoa; Arthropoda; Insecta; Lepidoptera; Tortricidae
Exons: 2
Source: RefSeq, a predicted model, not a curated record